UAGGGAAUCUUCCGCAAUGGACGCAAGUCUGACGGAGCAACGCCGCGUGUGUGAUGAAGGAUUUCGGUUCGUAAAGCACUGUUGUUAAGGAAGAAUAGUAGUAAGAGUAACUGUUUACUAAUUGACGGUACUUAACCAGAAAGCCACGGCUAACUACGUGCCAGCAGCCGCGGUAAUACGUAGGUGGCAAGCGUUAUCCGGAAUUAUUGGGCGUAAAGCGCGCGUAGGCGGCAAGAUUAGUCUGAUGUGAAAGCCCCCGGCUCAACCGGGGAGGGUCAUUGGAAACUGUCUUGCUUGAGUGCAGAAGAGGAGAGUGGAAUUCCAUGUGUAGCGGUGAAAUGCGCAGAGAUAUGGAGGAACACCAGUGGCGAAGGCGGCUCUCUGGUCUGCAACUGACGCUGAUGUGCGAAAGCGUGGGGAUCAAACAGGAUUAGAUACCCUGGUAGUCCACGCCGUAAACGAUGAGUGCUAAGUGUUAGGGGGUUUCCGCCCCUUAGUGCUGCAGCAAACGCAUUAAGCACUCCGCCUGGGGAGUACGAUCGCAAGAUUGA
This 551-nucleotide ribosomal RNA is filed under the name uncultured compost bacterium. RNAcentral's name for it is "bacterial SSU rRNA". It matches the Rfam family "Bacterial small subunit ribosomal RNA", at positions 355 to 897 of the family's 1533-position model. The record is from RNAcentral.